UUAUGGACUAUUUUGCAUGAUUUGGUUGUAUUGAAUUGUGGAAGGUGGAUAUGGUAAUUGAGUUAUGGAAGGUGGAUAUGGUAAUUGAGUUAUGGAAGGUGGAUAUGGUAAUUGAGUUAUGGAAGGUGGAUAUGGUGAUAUACUAUUGAAUUGAUGAUUAUUUAUGUCUAUGACUCAAUUUGGUUUAAUGGAUUGGUUGGAAGGAUAAAUGAAUCCAAACUUGAUAUUGGAGGAUGUUGUAUGAAUAUGCAUGGCAUGUGAAUGUAAUUGGAGUAUAAGAGGGUUAAAGUGACACCC
This 297-nucleotide long non-coding RNA is filed under the name Capsicum annuum. Its description in RNAcentral is "long non-coding RNA (CANN_LNC020095)". The record is from RNAcentral. Lineage: Eukaryota; Viridiplantae; Streptophyta; Magnoliopsida; Solanales; Solanaceae.